Molecule: ribosomal RNA, 254 nt
Filed under: uncultured bacterium
Lineage: Bacteria
Description: partial 16S ribosomal RNA
Rfam family: Bacterial small subunit ribosomal RNA
Source: RNAcentral
CACGUAGGGACCAAGCGUUGUCCGGAUUCAUUGGGCGUAAAGAGCUCGUAGGCGGUUCAGUAAGUCGGGUGUGAAACCUCCAGGCUCAACCUGGAGACGCCACCCGAUACUGCUGUGACUAGAGUCCAGUAGGGGAGCGUGGAAUUCCUGGUGUAGAGGUGAAAUUCGUAGAUAUCAGGAGGAACACCGGUGGCGAAGGCGGCCAUCUGGACGACAACUGACGCUGAGGCGCGAAAGCGUGGGGAUCAAACAGG